GAUCAUGGCUCAGGAUGAACGCUAGCUACAGGCUUAACACAUGCAAGUCGAGGGGAAACGACAUCGAAAGCUUGCUUUUGAUGGGUCGUCGACCGGCGCACGGGUGAGUAACGCGUAUCCAACCUGCCCAUCACUUGGGAAGUAACCUUGCGAAAGUAAGACUAAUGCCCAAUGAUAUCCCACGAAGGCAUCCGAAUGGGAUUAAAGAUUUAUCGGUGAUGGAUGGGGAUGCGU
Molecule: ribosomal RNA, 234 nt
Filed under: uncultured bacterium
Lineage: Bacteria
Description: partial 16S ribosomal RNA
Rfam family: Bacterial small subunit ribosomal RNA
Source: RNAcentral